CAAAAGCGUAUAUUAAAGUUGUUGCAGUUAAAAAGCUCGUAGUUGAACCUUGGGCUUGGCUGGCCGGUCCAUCUUUUUUGAUGCGUACUGGACCCAGCCGAGCCUUUCCUUCUGGCUAGCCUUUUGGCGAACCAGGACUUUUACGUUGAAAAAAUUAGAGUGUUCAAAGCAGGCCUUUGCUCGAAUAUAUUAGCAUGGAAUAAUAGAAUAGGACGUUAUGGUUCUAUUUUGUUGGUUUCUAGGACCAUCGUAAUGAUUAAUAGGGACGGUCGGGGGUAUCAGUAUUCAGUUGUCAGAGGUGAAAUUCUUGGAUUUACUGAAGACUAACUACUGCGAAAGCAUUUACCAAGGACGUUUUCAUUAA
This 364-nucleotide ribosomal RNA is filed under the name uncultured eukaryote. RNAcentral's name for it is "partial 18S ribosomal RNA". It matches the Rfam family "Eukaryotic small subunit ribosomal RNA", at positions 592 to 976 of the family's 1831-position model. The record is from RNAcentral.